RNAcentral lists this ribosomal RNA (203 nucleotides) under uncultured fungus. Its description in RNAcentral is "partial small subunit ribosomal RNA". The stretch from base 82 to 203 matches the Rfam family "Eukaryotic small subunit ribosomal RNA", at positions 736 to 864 of the family's 1831-position model. The record is from RNAcentral. Lineage: Eukaryota; Fungi.
GGCCAAUGCUGUGCUGCGCAGUUUGCCGGUACAGUGUUUGGUCAUCCGUAAGGGAAGCCAGUUCGGCCUUCACUGGUCGGCUGGGGGAACUUACAAUUUACUGUGAAAAAAUUAGAGUGUUUCAGGCAGGCAAUCGCUUGGAUACUCCAGCAUGGAAUAAUGGAAUAGGACUUUGGUCUAUUUAUUGGUUUGAGAUCAAAGUA